UGGGAGCCGGCCCUGAGCUCGUCCUGCGUAGGGGUAGCCGGGCUCAGGGGGCGCCUGAGCUGGAGGUGGAAGCGUGAAGUCAGGACUGAGUGGGCGAAGAGAACCUGGGCUGAGACAUGGCCGCUUACCAACAAGAAGGGCAGAUGCAGCUUCCCCGAGCUGAUGCCAUUCGUUCACGUCUCAUCGAUACUUUCUCUCUCAUCGAGCAUUUGCAAGGCUUGAGCCAAGCUGUGCUGCGACACACUAUCAGGAGUUACUUGAUCCUUCCCGCCAGAAGAAACUUAUGUUGGGAGAUCAACACCAGCUAGUGGGCGUCUCUAUAAAGCCUCAACGUAUAGAACAGAUUUCACAUGCCCAGAGGCUGUUGAGCAGGCUUCAUGUGCGCUGCAGUCAGAGGCCACCUCUUUCUUUGUGGGCCGGAUGGGUCCUUGAGUGUCCUCUCUUCAAAAACUUCAUCAUCUUCCUGAUCUUUUUGAAUACGAUCGUACUGAUGGUUGAAAUAC
Molecule: long non-coding RNA, 503 nt
Filed under: Homo sapiens (human)
Lineage: Eukaryota; Metazoa; Chordata; Mammalia; Primates; Hominidae
Description: non-protein coding lnc-ELL3-1:6
Source: RNAcentral